CCACAUUAUGUUGAAACACCAGUUCUCAUACGAUCACCAGUUAAGUAAUGUUGAGCCUGGUUAGUACAGAGGUGGGUGACCACUUGGGAAUACCAGGUUCUGUAAG
Non-coding RNA from Acanthosepion pharaonis, 106 nucleotides. NCBI's taxonomy places the organism in Eukaryota, Metazoa, Mollusca, Cephalopoda, Sepiida, Sepiidae. The record is from the annotation of a GenBank genome assembly.